CCUACGGGAUGCACCAGUGGGGAAUAUUGCACAAUGGGGGAAACCCUGAUGCAGCCAUGCCGCGUGUAUGAAGAAGGCCUUAGGGUUGUAAAGUACUUUCGGUGAUGAGGAAGGUGCUUGGUCUAAUAGGCCAAGUAAUUGACGUUAAUUACAGAAGAAGCACCGGCUAACUCCGUGCCAGCAGCCGCGGUAAUACGGAGGGUGCGAGCGUUAAUCGGAAUGACUGGACGUAAAGGGCAUGUAGGUGGAUGAUUAAGUUAGGUGUGAAAUCCCCGAGCUCAACUUGGGAAUUGCAUUUAAAACUGGUCGUCUAGAGUAUUGUAGAGGAAGGUAGAAUUCCACGUGUAGCGGUGAAAUGCGUAGAGAUGUGGAGGAAUACCGGUGGCGAAGGCGACCCCCUGGACGAAGACUGACGCUCAGGUGCGAAAGCGUGGGGAGCAAACAGGAUUAGAUACCCUCGUAGUC
RNAcentral lists this ribosomal RNA (465 nucleotides) under uncultured bacterium. Its description in RNAcentral is "bacterial SSU rRNA". It matches the Rfam family "Bacterial small subunit ribosomal RNA", at positions 338 to 795 of the family's 1533-position model. The record is from RNAcentral.